UAUAUACAAAAUAACUUAUUUUGUAGCCACUUUGAGUUAUGAUAAUUACUAUAUUAAUUUACAAGAUUAUAGUAACUCCUUACUAAGUGGUUUACUAUAGCAUUACGGUAAAUAUCUCCAUGUGUUAACCAAACUAUCGUAAAUAUAUAUACAUAUUAUAGUAAAUUAGUAUAUAAAAUUAUCGUAAAUAGAGGUGGCUACAGAAUAACUUAUUUUGUAGCUA
Molecule: microRNA precursor, 223 nt
Filed under: Sorghum bicolor (sorghum)
Lineage: Eukaryota; Viridiplantae; Streptophyta; Magnoliopsida; Poales; Poaceae
Description: MIR6217 microRNA precursor family
Rfam family: MIR6217 microRNA precursor family
Source: Rfam by way of RNAcentral